This is a long non-coding RNA of Strongylocentrotus purpuratus (purple sea urchin), 602 nucleotides long. RefSeq lists it as uncharacterized. The record is from RefSeq and is a predicted model, not a curated record. Lineage: Eukaryota; Metazoa; Echinodermata; Echinoidea; Camarodonta; Strongylocentrotidae. The transcript has 3 exons.
CCGAUAUCAUAAUCAUAUUAGAAUUAGGAACUAUUUUGUUAGAGGUCGGACAAGCAAUUUCGCUUGAGUGACCAGAUGCAUGUAAUCUACAUUCUGCUAUUCAUCGAAAUGCAAUAACGUGAAACAGGUGCAUGAAAUAGUUCGUUACUAUGCAUUUGUCAAAGAAGUACGCAGUUGAAUUUGAACAUGUAGGACGCGCAGUACGAUAAUUGAAUAUUGGUGCGAUUGUCUCGAGUCAACUGAAAGUCAAGUCCCUGAAAGUAUCCGUUAUCGUUACGACAUACGUCUCUUCGAGAAUUGGGCGCCGAGAAAUCCGCCGCACUGCGGUACAUCGGAGAAGGGAGGUGUUGAAACAGGUGGAUCCAACUCACUUGACUCACUUCAAGAGACAUGUGCGACAAAGCUGCUGAAACCAAGCAAGGCCUCUGCACAAAUUUGUACCUCAACCGUCCCGGCAAAGAGGCUACUUGAGGGAUUGACAACUUUAGUUUGCGGGUGAUGCUAUGAUUGCGGACCUGACCGAGAAGAUUAGUGAUCAUGGCUGUCCAAAUUGUGAUGAAAAGUUAUCAAAAGGUAAGUAAGUGAAAUAAAUUAGUUUGAAA